AGACACUGAUGAAGCAGAUAGCCGAGAAGUGAUUCUUCCAGGACUAAAUCUUCUCUAUGAUGGUUCAGAGUUGCACCCUUUUGAUAUUUGUGCUUGCCUUCAGGCUCGUCAACCAGUUGCUCUUAUAGCAGAAGCUGCUGUUGCAUCUGCAAACCUUGCCCCGAAAUAGAAUAAUACUCACUGAGAUUCCAGUCCAAAUAUCGUAGGACAUAAUGUGAAAGGUCGGGUUCUUGUUUGUUUGUUUUUACAUUCUAGCCGACUGGAAAAUGCAAUCUGCGGCGAGCAUCAGAAUACACUGAUGUUGCUUAGUCGCAGUAAGGGUUAGGAAAUCUACAAAUUAUAUAUUUGGCUAACGAAUGAUGAAUGUAUCGUUAUACCAUUAUUGUGCUUCAGUUAAAAAGAUAGUACUGAGGAAAUUUUGGAGACAUUGUGUGUGUAAGUGUCAAGGAAGGCUGUGGUUUAUAGAGGAGUUUUGCGUUUGGGACUGUCUUGCACAGAUUUUAUCCCAAUUUGGUUCGGGCGACUCUCGAUGGCCCAGUUAUUACGUCGAGGUUGAUGAAAGUCUCUUUUUCCCAAUAACAAAGUAUAUUUGGGAUCAGUUUUUGUUCUUUUUCCAUACAAUCAAAAAAUAUGUUUGCUUUUUUUGGUUACGUAUACGUCACGCACCGAAAUCAAACUGUGGAAUCUUUUCAUAAUCAAAUCAAUUCAAGUCUAACCA
Molecule: non-coding RNA, 718 nt
Organism: Camelina sativa (false flax)
Lineage: Eukaryota; Viridiplantae; Streptophyta; Magnoliopsida; Brassicales; Brassicaceae
Source: RefSeq, a predicted model, not a curated record